CUGUCUCUCUGUCUGUCCGUCUGUCCGUGUGCCCGUCCGUGGGCGGCCCCACGAGCACUCCUGGCCCAGGAGCUGCCCCUGGCCGAGCCGAGCUCGGGCUGGUCCCAGCUCUUCCUUCAGCCUUUCCUGCCCUUCGUGCCUUGGCACUUGGGGAAUUUCAACCAGCGACUCUUUCCCUGCCGCCGUCGGGGAAGGUCCUGCCUGGGACAGAAAGGCUAAAAAAGAGGAAACUUUAAAAUGCCCAAACCAGAUGCUGCCACGUGAGUCAAAGCAGGGAAAGCCUCGGGAUGUGGAAGAAUAAGACCAACAAUUUCUCUACAGCAGUUGAGCAGCUUCAAUUUCCAUUCCAUCCAUAUGACACAGCAUCUAAUUCCACCUCCUGAUUUGAUCUUGGCAAAAGGAAGAGUCACCUGCGCUCAGUGUAAAUAUUUAG
Molecule: long non-coding RNA, 433 nt
Organism: Poecile atricapillus (Black-capped chickadee)
Lineage: Eukaryota; Metazoa; Chordata; Aves; Passeriformes; Paridae
Exons: 3
Source: RefSeq, a predicted model, not a curated record